This 301-nucleotide ribosomal RNA is filed under the name uncultured bacterium. Its description in RNAcentral is "partial 16S ribosomal RNA". It matches the Rfam family "Bacterial small subunit ribosomal RNA", at positions 509 to 807 of the family's 1533-position model. The record is from RNAcentral.
CAGCAGCCGCGGGAAUACGGAGGGUGCAAGCGUUAAUCGGAAUUACUGGGCGUAAAGCGCACGCAGGCGGUCUGUCAAGUCAGAUGUGAAAUCCCCGGGCUUAACCUGGGAACUGCAUUUGAAACUGGCAGGCUAGAGUCUUGUAGAGGGGGGUAGAAUUCCAGGUGUAGCGGUGAAAUGCGUAGAGAUCUGGAGGAAUACCGGUGGCGAAGGCGGCCCCCUGGACAAAGACUGACGCUCAGGUGCGAAAGCGUGGGGAGCAAACAGGAUUAGAGACCCCAGUAGUCCCUGUCUCUUAUAC